This 697-nucleotide ribosomal RNA is filed under the name uncultured bacterium. RNAcentral describes it as "bacterial SSU rRNA". It matches the Rfam family "Bacterial small subunit ribosomal RNA", at positions 56 to 749 of the family's 1533-position model. The record is from RNAcentral.
UGCAGUCGUGGGGCAGCAGGGGUAGCAAUACCCGCUGGCGACCGGCAAACGGGUGCGGAACACGUACGCAACCUUCCUUUAACUGGAGAAUAGCCCCUCGAAAGAGGGAUUAAUACUCCGUAACAUAUUGAUAAGGCAUCUUAUUAAUAUUAUAGCUCCGGCGGUUAAAGAUGGGCGUGCGCCUGAUUAGAUAGUUGGCGGGGUAACAGCCCACCAAGUCUGCGAUCAGUAACUGGUGUGAGAGCACGACCAGUCACACGGGCACUGAGACACGGGCCCGACUCCUACGGGAGGCAGCAGUAAGGAAUAUUGGUCAAUGGACGCAAGUCUGAACCAGCCAUGCCGCGUGGAGGAUUAAGGCCCUCUGGGUUGUAAACUCCUUUUAUCUGGGAAGAAAUCCAAGUAUUCUUAUUUGGUUGACGGUACCAGAGGAAUAAGCACCGGCUAACUCCGUGCCAGCAGCCGCGGUAAUACGGAGGGUGCAAGCGUUAUCCGGAUUCACUGGGUUUAAAGGGUGCGUAGGCGGGCAGGUAAGUCCGUGGUGAAAUCUCUGAGCUUAACUCAGAUACUGCCAUGGAUACUAUUUGUCUUGAAUAUUGUGGAGGUAAGCGGAAUAUGUCAUGUAGCGGUGAAAUGCUUAGAUAUGACAUAGAACACCAAUUGCNAAGGCAGCUUACUACACAGUNAUUGACGCUGA